RNAcentral lists this long non-coding RNA (1217 nucleotides) under Lactuca sativa (garden lettuce). RNAcentral's name for it is "long non-coding RNA (LSAT_LNC002242)". The record is from RNAcentral. Lineage: Eukaryota; Viridiplantae; Streptophyta; Magnoliopsida; Asterales; Asteraceae.
UCCUAUAUGAUAAAUUUGAUAUGAAACCUUAAAAAUGACAUUUCAUUAAUAGAGUUGGUCAUUAAAUAUGAUCAUAAUUCAUACAUACAAAAAACCACUUAUAUUCAACUUUUUUAAAAUGAAAUUCAAAAAAGUGGUAAAGAAAAUUUGCUUUCUCUCAAUCAAAUCAUGUUUUCACUCCAUUCAUGUUCUCUACAAUUUCCCAAACUAUGACUCUAUAACCUCAGUUUCAGCAUUCUUUUAUCUACCAUUGAGGCAUAUUCAAUGUCAUGAUUUUUUGUGCUAGUUAUCGUUGUCUUCUUUUUCUUCAUAAUGUCAUUUCUUUGUGGAUGGCUCCCUUAGAAGAUGUUUUCAUCUUUCUAUACUUUGCUUCUAUGGCAAGUAUAACGUUUUUUCAUCACAUGAGGCUUCAUACAAGGGUUGAGCUCACUGGAGAAGCAAAAAAUAUAGUUAGAUUCAAGGGCGAAUUUCAACUAAUCGGAGCUUCAUACAAGGGUUGAGCUCAUUGGGUGUUGAUGUAUCAACAACGUGUUUUGGAUCCGUUAAAUUGUAAUGGCGUGCAGAGAGAAUAUAAUGACUUAAGACUUUUUUAAUAUAUCUUGUUUUUUUUUAAAUUAUUUUUUUAUUAUAUAUAUUAAAUUUUAUGUUUGCGUAAACUUAUAUGUUUAAAUAUCCUAAAUUUUAUGCUUGCGUUAACUUCAAUCUAUGUUUAAAUAUCCUAUUUCUUUUUUUCUAAAUUAUUUUAGCUCAGCAUGGAAGCUAAGAACUUGAUUUGUAUAUCGACAACAAAAUAACGUAUUUAAAAUUUAAAACAGAAAAAUUAAAUAGAAUUACGAUUCUCCAAAAUUCAAAAUAGUAAGCACUAAGCAGUUUAGAAUCUAAUUUAUAUGUCCGAAAUAUCUAUUCUGAUAUUCAGAAACAGGUGAUUAUUUUCUUAAACGGCCAAAAAAAUGAUCAAAUAUAUAUUCAAAUAGUAUCUUUGCGACUUUUUUUUUUUUAUCGAAUAUAACGAUUUAUGUUUAUGGACCUUUAUCCCUGUGCUUCACACUCACCGGAACAAAAAAAACAAAAGGAUGCCGUCUACAACCUCUGAACCACAAAGCAAUCAUCUGCAAACCCUGUUGGAAUCGGCGCGGCCGUUUCUCCGGGGACAAUUGGAGAACGUCGACGUCAAACUUCCAUCCCUAGUCGCGGUCUUGAAAUCCGUCGGAGCUGGC